Molecule: long non-coding RNA, 1497 nt
Organism: Salmo salar (Atlantic salmon)
Lineage: Eukaryota; Metazoa; Chordata; Actinopteri; Salmoniformes; Salmonidae
Source: RefSeq, a predicted model, not a curated record
UUCAACUGUAUGUACAGCUACACCAUCAAAUGUUUGCCACCAAAUUUUACUUAAAUAUGAUUUUGUGUGUAAUUGCGUUUUGCAGGAAUGCAGUGUAACAUGUUGGUGGAGGUCCAAUACCAAAAAUACAAGAAGUUCAUGAAGUUGCAGCCAGUUUUCUCUUAUGGAGAUUUUAUCUAUCAAGGAGAAUAUAUGAACUGUCUGAUGUAUAUUCUUAAUUGAACCCUUGGGCUUGAUUUGGGUCAGACCCAUUCUGUUGCCCCCUAGGUGGCUUAUCUCUAUGUAUUCUGAUUGGUCUAUCUUUUUUGUAGUACAAAAUAGGUUUGGACUGCCCUCUGCAGCACAAAUAUAAUUGUUUUAAUGAUUCCUAAACUGAGGAGGAUGUCCUGCUGGACCUGAUUGUGAGGCACAGGUCUGGAUUGGCCUCAAAGAUCUACAGUCUCUCAUAAUGAUAUGAAAUAACAUGAAUGUAUAGAUUGAUUGCUUUGAUCGGUUUGUGCUCAGUCUUUUCUCCUGCAGGCUGUUAUACACCUAGUUCCUCCACAGACACAUUAUCCUUCUAACGUUAUUUAGACCUGAGAUCUCUAGAAAGGCCGUCUAAAAAAGCCAGGACAACCUUAAGAGAUGAGGCCAUCGACUCCACAGCAGCGAAAGAGAUGGUCCGAGACGCCCUGACUAGUAGACCUGGUGGGCAAGAUGUAUUAGAAGAGUACCAGACAACCAAAACAUUGGACCACAGAAGAGAGUUGAUUGCCAUCUUAGUCAGCCACAAUCCUGCAACGAUAAGCUUCUCCUUAGCCAAUCCGGCCACACACAGUGGAUCAAAACAAUCAAACUAUACAUGAAUGUUAUUUGGUAUCAUUAUGAGACUGUAGAAAAAUCCAGUACAACUUUCGUUAAACAUAUUUGGCGUGUGUAUGCUUUACUGUUUUUGAGCAGGAGACUUCCCACUCGCCAACAGAGAGAACGUUAUGCUCUUGGAAUUGUCACCCUCUUUCCUUCGUAUUGCUUUAAUAUUUUGACACUUGACCUCGCGUCGAACCAUCAAGAAGAGAUUCCACCCCAGUCGGAAGGCCCAACCCAUAGGAGGAAGACCUGGCCCACCAGCUUGUUGGUGAUGCUUGCAAGGAGGCCAUGUCAUUCCCUGUCCACUCGGCUGAUGAAAAACAAGUCUAUCAGAAGAUGGAGGUGUUCCAGUAUCGUCAGGAGCUAGUUUAUAGUCCAGACAGAAGCACAGAUGUCCUCAGUCUUUCCCAGGUUUCUGGACAUCAAAGGAUUGGAUAGUGAUGUAGUAUGUGUUGGAAUCAGAAGUAAAGACUAGUUAUCUGAUUGAGAACAUGUGUUGUGUCAUUGAGAACAUGAAGUUGAAAUGCUCCACUUUGUUUUAGUUGAAUCGGGACUUUUUGCUGAUGUUCAAUGAUGAAACGUCCUCUAAACUCCUUGAAAAGUGGGACACUGUAUUGAAGCCUAAAGUCAUUAAACUGGCAAAAUCCCUGA